GGAGUUAGCCGGUGCUUCUUCUGUGAGUGAUGUCCUUCCUGCCGGCUAUUAACCCGCAGGCCUUCUUCCUCACUGAAAGUGCUUUACAACCCGAAGGCCUUCUUCACACACGCGGCAUGGCUGGAUCAGGGUUGCCCCCAUUGUCCAAUAUUCCCCACUGCUGCCUCCCGUAGGAGUCUGGGCCGUGUCUCAGUCCCAGUGUGGCUGAUCAUCCUAUCAGACCAGCUACGGAUCGUCGCCUUGGUGAGCCGUUACCUCACCAACCAGCUAAUCCGACAUAGGCUCAUCCGAUAGCGCGAGGCCCGAAGGUCCCCCGCUUUCCCCCGUAGGGCGUAUGCGGUAUUAGCCUGGGUUUCCCCAGGUUAUCCCCCACUACCGGGCAGAUUCCUAUGCAUUACUCACCCGUCCGCCGCUCGCCACCAGGGAGCAAGCUCCCCGUGCUGCCGCUCGACUUGCAUGUGUAGCUCGCCGCCACGCGUCAUCUGAGCAGAUACAACUACUGA
RNAcentral lists this ribosomal RNA (503 nucleotides) under uncultured bacterium. RNAcentral's name for it is "partial 16S ribosomal RNA". The record is from RNAcentral.